CCUACGGGAGGCAGCAGUAGGGAAUAUUGCUCAAUGGGGGAAACCCUGAAGCAGCAACGCCGCGUGGAGGAUGAAGGUUUUCGGAUUGUAAACUCCUUUUGUUAGAGAAGAUAAUGACGGUAUCUAACGAAUAAGCACCGGCUAACUCCGUGCCAGCAGCCGCGGUAAUACGGAGGGUGCAAGCGUUACUCGGAAUCACUGGGCGUAAGGAGCGCGUAGGCGGGAUAGCAAGUCAGAUGUGAAAUCCUAUGGCUUAACCAUAGAACUGCAUUUGAAACUGUUAUUCUAGAGUAUGGGAGUGGUAAGUGGAAUUCUUGGUGUAGGGGUAAAAUCCGUAGAGAUCAAGAGGAAUACUCAUGGCGAAGGCGACCUGCUAGAACAUAACUGACGCUGAUGCGCGAAAGCGUGGGGAGCAAACAGGAUUAGAUACCCUAGUAGUC
This 440-nucleotide ribosomal RNA is filed under the name uncultured bacterium. RNAcentral describes it as "partial 16S ribosomal RNA". It matches the Rfam family "Bacterial small subunit ribosomal RNA", at positions 338 to 795 of the family's 1533-position model. The record is from RNAcentral.